UACGAGCGGCCCAAACGUUAUUCGGAUUUACUGGGCUUAAAGAGUUCGUAGGCGGCGCGGAAAGUAGGGUGUGAAAGCCCUCGGCUCAACCGAGGAAUUGCGCUCUAAACUACCGUGCUUGAGGAAGCUAGAGGUGAGCGGAACUGAUGGUGGAGCGGUGAAAUGCGUUGAUAUCAUCAGGAACACCGGAGGCGAAGGCGGCUCACUGGGGCUUUUCUGACGCUGAGGAACGAAAGCCAGGGGAGCGAACGGG
RNAcentral lists this ribosomal RNA (253 nucleotides) under uncultured bacterium. Its description in RNAcentral is "partial 16S ribosomal RNA". It matches the Rfam family "Bacterial small subunit ribosomal RNA", at positions 524 to 776 of the family's 1533-position model. The record is from RNAcentral.